Molecule: long non-coding RNA, 1074 nt
Filed under: Piliocolobus tephrosceles (Ugandan red Colobus)
Lineage: Eukaryota; Metazoa; Chordata; Mammalia; Primates; Cercopithecidae
Description: lncRNA (ENSPTEG00000023297.1)
Source: RNAcentral
AUGAGCCAGGAACCAUGGACAAGAACAUACACACACACACAUACCCCAUAUAUACACACCUACAUAUAUAUACAUCAUACACACAUAUACACACACACCUCAUAUGUACACAUAUACACACCUACAUAUAACAUAUAUACAUACCAUACACAACCCAUAUACACACACAUACACACCUACAUAUAUAAACACACAUAUAUACACACCACACACAUCCUAUAUACACACACAUAUACACACAUAUAUACACACAUACACACACAAUAUAUACAUAUACACACCUACAUAUAUAUACACCAUACACACAUGUAUACACACCAUAUAUACACAUACACACACAUACUCCAUAUGUGCAUAUACACACCUACAUAUAUAUACACAUAUACACGCCAUUCACACAUACCCCAUAUACACACGCACCCCAUAUAUGUACCUAUACACACCUACAUAUAUACACACAUAAAAACCAUACACACACACACACCCCGUAUAUACAGAUAUACACACCUACAUAUAUACACACACAUACACACACACCCCAUAUAUACACAAAUAUACACACCUACAUAUAUACACCAUACACACACAUACACACAUACCCUAUAUAUACAUAUACUCACAUAUAUACACACGCAUGCAUAUACACACACCAUAAUGCACAUAUACAUAUACACACCAUACACACACAAGCAUAUACACAUACAUGCCAUACACACACAUAUACACACAUACAUACACACCAUACACACCAUAUACAUAUAUACACACCAUAUAUACACACACAUACACACACCCCAUACACAUGCAUACCUCAUAUAUAUAAACAUAUACACACCUGCGUAUACCCACACACACCAUACACACGCAUAUAUACACAUAUAUACCCAUACCAUACACACACACCGUACACACAUAUAUACACACACCAUAUAUAGAUUCACAUAUAUGCAUAUGCACACCGUACACACACACCAUACACACACCAUAUAUAUACACACAUAUGUAUACACACACACCAUAUACACACACAUACAUAUCAUACACUAUAUAUACACACUAUGUAUGCACACAUAA